GUAGUGGUGGUUCAGUGGCAGAAUUCUUCCCUUCCAUGCAGGAAACCCGGGUUCAGUUCCCAGCCAGUGCA
RNAcentral lists this transfer RNA (71 nucleotides) under Loxodonta africana (African savanna elephant). It matches the Rfam family "tRNA". From Rfam's summary of the family: Transfer RNA (tRNA) molecules are approximately 80 nucleotides in length. Lineage: Eukaryota; Metazoa; Chordata; Mammalia; Proboscidea; Elephantidae. The record is from Rfam by way of RNAcentral.